CACGUGAGCAAUCUACCCAUCACAUCGGGAUAACUCCGGGAAACCGGAGCUAAUACCGGAUACGACCACCUCAGGCAUCUGAAGUGGUGGAAAGUUCCGGCGGUGAUGGAUGAGCUCGCGGCCUAUCAGCUUGUUGGUGGGGUAACGGCCCACCAAGGCUUCGACGGGUAGCCGGCCUGAGAGGGUGACCGGCCACACUGGGACUGAGACACGGCCCAGACUCCUACGGGAGGCAGCAGUGGGGAAUUUUCCGCAAUGGGCGAAAGCCUGACGGAGCAAUACCGCGUGAGGGAUGACGGC
This 300-nucleotide ribosomal RNA is filed under the name uncultured Nocardioidaceae bacterium. RNAcentral's name for it is "bacterial SSU rRNA". It matches the Rfam family "Bacterial small subunit ribosomal RNA", at positions 114 to 415 of the family's 1533-position model. The record is from RNAcentral. Lineage: Bacteria; Bacillati; Actinomycetota; Actinomycetes; Propionibacteriales; Nocardioidaceae.